This 553-nucleotide ribosomal RNA is filed under the name Bifidobacterium pseudocatenulatum. RNAcentral's name for it is "bacterial SSU rRNA". It matches the Rfam family "Bacterial small subunit ribosomal RNA", at positions 146 to 711 of the family's 1533-position model. Lineage: Bacteria; Bacillati; Actinomycetota; Actinomycetes; Bifidobacteriales; Bifidobacteriaceae. The record is from RNAcentral.
UCUCCUGGAAACGGGUGGUAAUGCCGGAUGCUCCGACUCCUCGCAUGGGGUGUCGGGAAAGAUUUCAUCGGUAUGGGAUGGGGUCGCGUCCUAUCAGGUAGUCGGCGGGGUAACGGCCCACCGAGCCUACGACGGGUAGCCGGCCUGAGAGGGCGACCGGCCACAUUGGGACUGAGAUACGGCCCAGACUCCUACGGGAGGCAGCAGUGGGGAAUAUUGCACAAUGGGCGCAAGCCUGAUGCAGCGACGCCGCGUGCGGGAUGACGGCCUUCGGGUUGUAAACCGCUUUUGAUCGGGAGCAAGCCUUCGGGUGAGUGUACCUUUCGAAUAAGCACCGGCUAACUACGUGCCAGCAGCCGCGGUAAUACGUAGGGUGCAAGCGUUAUCCGGAAUUAUUGGGCGUAAAGGGCUCGUAGGCGGUUCGUCGCGUCCGGUGUGAAAGUCCAUCGCUUAACGGUGGAUCUGCGCCGGGUACGGGCGGGCUGGAGUGCGGUAGGGGAGACUGGAAUUCCCGGUGUAACGGUGGAAUGUGUAGAUAUCGGAAAGAACACCA